AGACAUGGGAGAGACACGCAAGCUGCAAAGGGAAGCAGAGUCAAAUUAAAGCCUCGCAACCACGACUCGGCUUGUGGCGCUGCGGAUGGGGGGUCCCUCCCUCCCUCGGCUUGAUGAAGGUGGGUGUGAGAUCCCACAGGACUGUCUGGAAGAGAGCCCGUGGAAGUCACUGUAUUUUGCAGAAGCUGGAGGCAAAGCAGAAGAUUGCAGCCUGACACUUCUGCCUCUUUUCCCUCUGGGCAUAUCUUACCGGGCCUUUGCAGGUCAUGGCUGGACUGUUGUGGUGGUAUAACUGAAACAAACUGAAGAGAUUGAUGGAAAAAAUUCUAAAAGCAAGGGCAGAAUCUAAAAGCCUGGAUCAUAAAAGAAGGAAUGCUGCAAGACAAAUUCCAGCUGCAACAAUGUUCCACACUCCCACCCGAGUCAUCUGGUGAGGUACUUCUAGAUACCUUUAUUGAACGUAAGUUAGAAGCAAUGAUGUCACCAUAGCAAAGGAAGGACUUUCUUCAAAGCCUAGCAGAUACUUUUGAUUUGUGUGGCCAUAUGGUAGUGCCUAAUGCCCUCUCUUUUAUUUAAGUUUAAAGGAAAACAGAGAAAAUAUUCAAAGACACUACAUUGAAAUCAUUAUUAAUGACUCCUGAGAUCUAGGAUCUGAUUUUGAGCCAAAAGAAAAGAAAUUUCUAUAGAUGGGGUAUUAAAGCAACCUGUGGAGGAAGAGGAAGAGGGUGUUCCAGUUAGUGACCCGAUAGCGGGAUAAAUAGUAGGAAUGUGAAGUCAUUU
This 780-nucleotide long non-coding RNA is filed under the name Mus pahari (shrew mouse). RNAcentral describes it as "lncRNA (MGP_PahariEiJ_G0005793.1)". Lineage: Eukaryota; Metazoa; Chordata; Mammalia; Rodentia; Muridae. The record is from RNAcentral.